RNAcentral lists this ribosomal RNA (495 nucleotides) under uncultured bacterium. RNAcentral's name for it is "partial 16S ribosomal RNA". It matches the Rfam family "Bacterial small subunit ribosomal RNA", at positions 28 to 507 of the family's 1533-position model. The record is from RNAcentral.
GACGAACGCUGGCGGCGUGCCUAAUACAUGCAAGUAGAACGCUGAAGGAGGAGCUUGCUUCUCUGGAUGAGUUGCGAACGGGUGAGUAACGCGUAGGUAACCUGCCUUGUAGCGGGGGAUAACUAUUGGAAACGAUAGCUAAUACCGCAUAAGAGUAGAUGUUGCAUGACAUUUGCUUAAAAGGUGCAAUUGCAUCACUACCAGAUGGACCUGCGUUGUAUUAGCUAGUUGGUGGGGUAACGGCUCACCAAGGCGACGAUACAUAGCCGGCCUGAGAGGGUGAUCGGCCAAACUGGGAAUGGGACACGGCCCAGACUCCUACGGGGGGGAGCAGGAGGGAAACUUCGGAAAUGGAGGGAAGUCUGACCGAACAACGCCGCGGGAGUGAAGAAGGUUUUCGGAUCGGAAAGGUCUGUUGGAAGGGAAGAAAGAGUGUGAGAGUGGAAAGUUCCCACUGUGACGGUACCCAAACAGAAAGCGACGGCUAACUACGUG